UUGUUUGUUUCAGAAGACUCAGAAGAUAGGUACGGCAAAUAGUUGGUACGGCCGGCGGCGGGCACCGGGCAAGGCCCUGUCCCACAGGGCUGCCCGCCGGAGCACGAUCCCUCAGAUACGGUAGACAGUGGUUGGAGCGCUAGACUCGUAAUGAUCCCUCCGCUGGUUCACCAACGGAGA
This 180-nucleotide unclassified non-coding RNA is filed under the name uncultured fungus. RNAcentral describes it as "sequence contains ITS1". Lineage: Eukaryota; Fungi. The record is from RNAcentral.